This is a non-coding RNA of Eimeria mitis, 142 nucleotides long. The record is from Rfam. NCBI's taxonomy places the organism in Eukaryota, Apicomplexa, Conoidasida, Eucoccidiorida, Eimeriidae.
GACGCCAACUGUGGUGAACUAUGCCUGAGUAGGGUGAAGUCAGGCAAAAGCCUGAUAAGGGCUCGUAGCGGUACUGAGGUGCAUAUCGUCCGUCAAACUUGGAUACAGCGGCGAAAGACUAAUCGAACCGUGUGAUAGCUGG